GACGAACGCUGGCGGCGUGCUUAACACAUGCAAGUCGAACGGAAAGGCCCUGCUUUUGUGGGGUGCUCGAGUGGCGAACGGGUGAGUAACACGUGAGUAACCUGCCCUUGACUUUGGGAUAACUUCAGGAAACUGGGGCUAAUACCGGAUAGGAGCUCCUGCUGCAUGGUGGGGGUUGGAAAGUUUCGGCGGUUGGGGAUGGACUCGCGGCUUAUCAGCUUGUUGGUGGGGUAGUGGCUUACCAAGGCUUUGACGGGUAGCCGGCCUGAGCGGGUGACCGGCAACAUUGGGACUGCGCUGCGGCCCGGACUCCUACGGGAGGCAGCAGUGGGGAAUAUUGCACAAUGGGCGGCAGCAUGAUGCAGCAACGCCGCGUGCGGGAUGACGGCCUUCGGGUUGUAAACCGCUUUCGCCUGUGACGAAGCGUGAGUGACGGUAAUGGGUAAAGAAGCACCGGCUAACUACGUG
This 468-nucleotide ribosomal RNA is filed under the name uncultured bacterium. RNAcentral describes it as "partial 16S ribosomal RNA". It matches the Rfam family "Bacterial small subunit ribosomal RNA", at positions 28 to 507 of the family's 1533-position model. The record is from RNAcentral.